Panicum virgatum (switchgrass) is the source of this 399-nucleotide long non-coding RNA. RefSeq lists it as uncharacterized. The record is from RefSeq and is a predicted model, not a curated record. Lineage: Eukaryota; Viridiplantae; Streptophyta; Magnoliopsida; Poales; Poaceae. The transcript is spliced from 3 exons.
CACAACGACCUGCCCGACGCCCCGACCCCGCGCUGCUGCGUCGCCCGCGGAGCUGGAACGCCGCGCAGCCCCGCGGGUCACCUGCCCUCGCAUCGCCUCCUACGCCGCGGCGGCUAACGGUCCGCCUUGAGCUUGGCAUCUCCGCCACCGCACACUCAGGGGAACAGAGCAGAGGUCUACGCAAAGUCAAGCAUGCAUCCAUUGCAAGCAGUGGACAAACCAAGCAACAUAUCUUGUCUGAACGCUAGAAACAAAAGACAAGAGGCUGUCAAGCUGCACCGAUAUGGGUGCACAUCGCAUCAGGUUCGUACACACUUCUAUUUUCCUUCUAUUUAUAAUAUCUUGAGCAUCACAAUUGCAUCAGGGAUGUUUGUUUGGAUUCUUCUAUUUUGGAGUCUC